Molecule: long non-coding RNA, 3079 nt
Filed under: Nicotiana tabacum (common tobacco)
Lineage: Eukaryota; Viridiplantae; Streptophyta; Magnoliopsida; Solanales; Solanaceae
Description: long non-coding RNA (NTAB_LNC001069)
Source: RNAcentral
UUUGAAUACAGAUUAUAGACACAUUAUGGAUACAUUAUAGAAUGCCUUAAGAUUUCCUCUUCUCUUUCAAAAGAAAAACUUCUGAAAAUCAACCUUGAUCUUUCAGAAUCAAAAAAUGUAUGCAUUCGUCUCCUAUUUUUAAAAUCUGGUCGUCUUCUUAUUCUACUGAGUUUCAUUCAUUACUGCUGCUUUACUUCAAGCUUUCAGAGACUUAUUUUCUUACUUAUUAGUUUCUGAUGCUAUCAAGGUACUUUCUUAAACAAUGUAAAUAUUUAAAUUUUGUUGUAUCAUGACUAGGAUUUUACUGGUUAUCAAAAAUCUGUGUUCUGUUUGAAUAUUGCAUAUAGUUGUUUGGUUGAGAGUUGUGUAUGAAAACAUAUAGAGUUAAUCAUUUACACUGUUUUAGGCAAUUUAAGUUAUGGUAGCUUUAUGUUAAAGGGUUCUGAAAAAUUAUCAAAUCUGUUUAAAUCUUCAUAUAGCCAUAAGAUCGGUACGUUGGAAUAGUAAAAAAAAAACAAGAAAAGCAUUUUCUAGAAAAUUUGUUAGAUGAGUAAUAGGUAGAUUUGUUAUCACUGCCCGUGUUAGUUCCGUUUUAUAUUAUAUCCUCUCAUGCCUUGCGUUAGUAGUUUUAUUUUACUAUGUCAUUAAACAAUUAAAAUCUAGUAAUUCCAAUGCUAUUAGUUUAAAAUCAUAGAAGAUGGGUCUUACAAGCAACCUAACAGUAAUCAGGGUACGAAUUCAGUCCCAAAUCAAUUGGGUCCAUGAGAUUGUACUCUGGGUCUUUGGCUAAUAAAAUGAGUUGAUUAAAGGUAUUUAUACUUUAAGAUUUUCAAAUGCAAAUGAGUUUUUUUUUAAAAUCUAUCACUUUAACACAUGUUAAUAUAAGAAAUAGGAGACUUAAGCAAUCAAUAGAAAAUUAUCCCAAUUUAAUUUUUGGUUCGUGUCCCCAGACCCCUUUUAGUUUUCUGCUUUAAAAGAUAAACCAAAUAUAGGUAAAAUCUGAUAAUUACUCGUAUAAAUUUCAAACUCAUCCUGGGCCAGAGUCACUUGGACUCAUUAUCAUCAGGCCUAAAUUAUUUUUGAGUAAUUGGUCCGUAAAUGGAUAUUGGGCCAGAGUCAUCCGGACUCAUUAUUAGGCCCAAAUCUUCUUGAAUUAAUUGGGUUUAAAUGAUUGAAUGCUUAAUAACAUUGAGUUGGGCCAGACUCAUUAUCACCAGGCCCAAAUAUCUUUAGUUAAUUUAGAUGUCCAUAAAAAUGAACAUUGGGCCAGAGUCAUUUGGACUCAUCAGCAGGCCCAGAUAUUUCUGAAUUAAAUGUGUUUAAUUGAUUCAUUGCUUAAUAACAUGGUAUUGGGCCAGAGGCAUAUGAACUUCAUGAUCACGAGGCCUAAAUCGUUUGGACUAAAUUCAUUUAGCUUCCUUAAAAUAUGCAUUGGGCCAGAGUCAAUUAGACUCGAGCAUGCCCAAAUUCUUUUGAACUGAAUUUAUUAGCUAGGACCAAAUAUAUAUCUUGGUCUAGAGUUCAUUUGGACUCGGUCCUUAUCAAGGCUCAAACUUUAAAUCUGGGCUUGCUUGACAGAUAGUACAUAGGCUGCCCCCAUCUAAUAUAAACAAACAUAUCACCUAGUAUUGAACCUUUACACUUAGCCAUAUGAAAUAGAGUAUUUAGUUUACAGACAUAAGCAUAACUUAAGGUAUUUAUAAUCAACUUAAUUAUUACAAUUAUGUACAUGCACGCGUGACAUAGUUGUGAUGCCAAAAAACAAACCAAGGUACAUGUUCGUGUGACCAUGGUCAAACAAUCUUAGUAAAUAAAAUGCCUUAAUUAAACACUCGUAGAAAUGCUUUAGGCGCAGAUUUUUACCUACUAUUGUGAUUGUGUACAUGUCCACGUGACGUGAUCCCGAUAUCCAAAAUUAAAUCGAGGUAUGCGUUCGCGCGACUUCGGCCAAACAAUCUUAAAUUAAUAAAGCGCAAUUAAUUGUGUACACGUUCGCGUGACAUGAUUUUAGUGCCCCAAACAAAGCGGACUUACACAUAUGUAAUUUGUUUCAAAGAUUAAAUCCAUAAACGCCAUAAUUAAAAGCGGUAAAAGGUCAAAUGCACAUAGGUUUAAAAAUACGUAAUUAAACAAAAUAUUAAGCCAGGUAUGAUUAAAGCGACCGUGCUAAAACCACGGAAUCCUGAAAUUUCUAACACCUUCUUUCAGGUUAACAGAAUUCCUUACCCGAUCUUCUGAUUGUCGCAGACUUUAAAACAUAGUCAAAUUUCCUCGAUUUGGGAUUUAAAAUAAACCGGUGACUUGGGAGACCAUAAAUUAUUCCAAGUGGCGACUCUGAAAAAUUAAAUAAAUAAUCCCAUUUCGAAUAAUGUUAAUUUAAUUGGAAAAAACUCCCUUAUCCCUUGGGAAAAAGGAGGUGUGACUAGCCUAUCAAUGCGGAAUAAAAAUAGAAAUCUGAAACUUUACAUAAUUACAACUCUCAAAAUCUCGUAGAAAUAAGUCACAAGCUUCUAAGAAUUUAUCUUCAAUGUCUCUAUAUAGCAGCGUCUAAAGAAAAUAAGGAAGCAACAUAACAAGAAUAGAAGGGGACUCCGGAGUCUGCGGAUGCUGGCAGAUAUACCUUGAAGUCUCCAUGCAUAGGUACUCACUGAUGUCUGGACUGGUAAGAAGUACCUGGAUCUGCACAAAAGGAUAUGUAGAAGCGUAGUAUGAGUACACCAUAGUAAUACCUAGUAAGUGCCAAGCCUAACCUCGGUAUAGUAGUGACAAGGUCAGGUCUGGCCCUACUGAAAAAAUAAUAAUAAAUGGCAUGGUAAAAUAUUUCACCAUAUAAUAAAAUAAAAUAACAAUGGAAAUGAAUCAAGUAGUAGGUCACCAUUUAAUUACACAAAUAAUGGCAAAUAAUACCUCGUGGAACAAAACAGAAUUUCUUUUCAACUUUAAGAAAAUUCACAACAAAAAUCAAAGGCAACUACGGCCAUAAAUCAAUAUCAACAAGGGCACUCCCGAGGUACCACCUUAUAGUCCCAAAUCAUCAAUAAAUUCAAAAUAGCUCAUUUCCUUAUGUCACCGCGGGAGC